This 497-nucleotide ribosomal RNA is filed under the name uncultured bacterium. RNAcentral's name for it is "partial 16S ribosomal RNA". It matches the Rfam family "Bacterial small subunit ribosomal RNA", at positions 28 to 507 of the family's 1533-position model. The record is from RNAcentral.
GAUGAACGCUGGCGGCGUGCCUAAUACAUGCAAGUCGAGCGAACGGACGAGAAGCUUGCUUCUCUGAUGUUAGCGGCGGACGGGUGAGUAACACGUGGAUAACCUACCUAUAAGACUGGGAUAACUUCGGGAAACCGGAGCUAAUACCGGAUGAUAUUUUGAACCGCAUGGUUCAAAAGUGAAAGACGGUCUUGCUGUCACUUAUAGAUGGAUCCGCGCUGCAUUAGCUAGUUGGUAAGGUAACAGCUUACCAAGGCAACGAUGCAUAGCCGACCUGAGAGGGUGAUCGGCCACACUGGAACUGAGACACGGUCCAGACUCCUACGGGAGGCAGCAGUAGGGAACCUUCCGCAAUGGGCGAAAGCCUGACGGAGCAACGCCGCGUGAGUGAUGAAGGUCUUCGGAUCGUAAAACUCUGUUAUUAGGGAAGAACAUAUGUGUAAGUAACUGUGCACAUCUUGACGGUACCUAAUCAGAAAGCCACGGCUAACUACGUG